Molecule: ribosomal RNA, 394 nt
Filed under: uncultured bacterium
Lineage: Bacteria
Description: partial 16S ribosomal RNA
Rfam family: Bacterial small subunit ribosomal RNA
Source: RNAcentral
ACACGUAGGGGGCGAGCGUUGUUCGGAAUCAUUGGGCGUAAAGGGCGUGCAGGCGGUCCUGCAAGUCCGGCGUGAAAGACCCCGGCCCAACCGGGGGGACGCGCUGGACACCUCAGGGCUGGAGUACCGGAGGGGGUGCCGGAAUUCCAGGGGUAGGGGGGAAAUCUGUAGAUAGCUGGAAGAACACCAAUGGCGAAGGAAGGCAUCUGGCCAUGUACUGACGCUGAGACGCGAAGGUGCGGGGAGCAAACAGGUUUAGAUACCCUGGUAGUCCGCACAGUAAACGAUGUGCACCAGGUGGCGGGGGGUCGACCCCCGGUACCGUAGCUAACGCAUUAAGUGCACCGCCUGGGGAGUAUGCUCGCAAGGGUGAAACUCAAAGGAAUUGGCGGGG